This 389-nucleotide ribosomal RNA is filed under the name uncultured bacterium. RNAcentral describes it as "bacterial SSU rRNA". It matches the Rfam family "Bacterial small subunit ribosomal RNA", at positions 28 to 420 of the family's 1533-position model. The record is from RNAcentral.
GAUGAACGCUAGCGGCAGGCCUAAUACAUGCAAGUCGAGGGGUAGAGUUAGCUUGCUAACUUGAGACCGGCGCACGGGUGCGUAACGCGUAUGCAACCUACCUUUAUCUGGGGGAUAGCCCGAAGAAAUUCGGAUUAACACCGCAUAAAAUCACAGUAUCGCAUGAUGCAAUGAUCAAAUAUUUAUAGGAUAAAGAUGGGCAUGCGUGUCAUUAGUUAGUUGGCGGGGUAACGGCCCACCAAGACCACGAUGACUAGGGGAUCUGAGAGGAUGACCCCCCACACUGGUACUGAGACACGGACCAGACUCCUACGGGAGGCAGCAGUAAGGAUAUGGUCAAUGGAGGCAACUCUGAACCAGCCAUGCCGCGUGCAGGAAGACGGCCCUCU